This 253-nucleotide ribosomal RNA is filed under the name uncultured bacterium. Its description in RNAcentral is "partial 16S ribosomal RNA". It matches the Rfam family "Bacterial small subunit ribosomal RNA", at positions 524 to 776 of the family's 1533-position model. The record is from RNAcentral.
AACGUAGGACGCAAGCGUUAUCCGGAAUUACUGGGCGUAAAGCGCGUGUAGGCGGGUCUGGAAGUCUUUCGUGAAAGCUCCCGGCUAAACUGGGAGAGGUCGGUGGAAACUACAGGUCUGGAGUUUGGCAGAAGAAUGUGGAAUUCCGCGUGUAGUGGUGAAAUGCGUCGAGAUGCGGAGGAACACCAGUGGCGGAGGCGGCAUUCUGGGCCACAACUGACGCUGAGACGCGAAAGCAUGGGUAGCGAACGGG